RNAcentral lists this ribosomal RNA (182 nucleotides) under Escherichia coli. RNAcentral's name for it is "partial 16S ribosomal RNA". It matches the Rfam family "Bacterial small subunit ribosomal RNA", at positions 1 to 176 of the family's 1533-position model. Lineage: Bacteria; Pseudomonadati; Pseudomonadota; Gammaproteobacteria; Enterobacterales; Enterobacteriaceae. RNAcentral also lists the same sequence under 4 other names. The record is from RNAcentral.
AAAUUGAAGAGUUUGAUCAUGGCUCAGAUUGAACGCUGGCGGCAGGCCUAACACAUGCAAGUCGAACGGUAACAGGAAGAAGCUUGCUUCUUUGCUGACGAGUGGCGGACGGGUGAGUAAUGUCUGGGAAACUGCCUGAUGGAGGGGGAUAACUACUGGAAACGGUAGCUAAUACCGCAUAA